This 87-nucleotide transfer RNA is filed under the name Pedobacter ginsenosidimutans. RNAcentral's name for it is "tRNA-Leu". It matches the Rfam family "tRNA". From Rfam's summary of the family: Transfer RNA (tRNA) molecules are approximately 80 nucleotides in length. Their secondary structure includes four short double-helical elements and three loops (D, anti-codon, and T loops). Further hydrogen bonds mediate the characteristic L-shaped molecular structure. tRNAs have two regions of fundamental functional importance: the anti-codon, which is responsible for specific mRNA codon recognition, and the 3' end, to which the tRNAs corresponding amino acid is attached (by aminoacyl-tRNA synthetases). tRNAs cope with the degeneracy of the genetic code in two manners: having more than one tRNA (with a specific anti-codon) for a particular amino acid; and 'wobble' base-pairing, i.e. permitting non-standard base-pairing at the 3rd anti-codon position. RNAcentral also lists the same sequence under 1 other name. Lineage: Bacteria; Pseudomonadati; Bacteroidota; Sphingobacteriia; Sphingobacteriales; Sphingobacteriaceae. The record is from RNAcentral.
ACCCAGGUGGCGAAAUUGGUAGACGCACCAGCUUGAGGGGCUGGCGCCCGUAUGGGUGUGGGAGUUCGAAUCUCCUCUUGGGUACAA